Molecule: long non-coding RNA, 1056 nt
Organism: Papaver somniferum (opium poppy)
Lineage: Eukaryota; Viridiplantae; Streptophyta; Magnoliopsida; Ranunculales; Papaveraceae
Exons: 5
Source: RefSeq, a predicted model, not a curated record
CUCUCCAUCUCUUCAUUACCACCAAACCAAAAAAAUCUAUUGUGGUUCACGCCGCCAUCACUGAUUCACCAUUUCCCUCACCACCACCAUGACAAGCACCAUCUCAAACAAUAAAAACGAAGUAACCUCACACCUCAGUAAUUCCAGCAGCACCGAAAUUAUGCUUUUUAGAGUUUUUCACUUUUCAGUUCUUCAAUUUUGCUCUGUAUAAAGAUUUUUAGGGAUUGUUAGAAGUUUAAAUGGCGAUUUUUCCACGAAAGAGCUAAAAUCAAAGACCGGCUACGGGAAUAGUCAACAACGUAAAAACACGCCAUAACCGAAAACAGCCGGUGUUAAGACAUUCAAUAUCGCAAUCAUCAUCUACGUGGAAUUUUGAACUGCAGUUCAUGGGAAUUGAUAGGCACUUAUAUAAGGACCCAGAUGAUGGAAUCUUGGCCAUUCUUUGCAACACCAAAGUAUAUAGUUGUAAAUAUCAAUAUCUGUUAUUGCUUGCUGCAGCAUGGAGUGAAGAGAUUCAACUCUCCUUUUUCAGCUGGUCACUGGACAUGUUUGGAAGGGAAUUACCUUUGGUUGAUUCAAGAGUCCAGUUGAAACUCCACUGAAGUACCAUGGCUUGUUGAAAACUACAUGAAGAAGGAUAUUACACUUUGUAGAAACCAAAUCUGUUAAGGGAUCGGAUGAUUACUUUAUGUAUCAGAUCUUCAAGAUACAACAGUCUUAGUCGCUCAUUUUAUCUAUUGAUGAGGUAAUGUUGUUCAUGAUGCUGAACAGUAAAACUAGGAUGGGUCAUGGCGUUUGUAUUGGACAGUCAUUCCUCCUGCUUUUCAAAGAAAGCCAUCUCCAGGCCUCCAACUGAAAAAGGUUUCUGUCAGGUGUGCGUCGGACUGCCACUUAAUGUGUUGGCCAUUUUUUUAUUUUCAAGCGUUCACUUAAUAUGAUGUCAUUGUUGUAUUUUUAGUAUUUGUUUUUAUGUCAUUCGUCGCAACCACUGUAUUAUCUUAGAAAAAAAAAACAUAUAUCUUUUGUAUUUGAAAUUUAUUAAAUAUCUAGUGUUUU